GUACAGCCCGCGUAAGGGAUUGCGGUGAUAUCUCCCGAUUUAAAAAAACAAGGCUUUUUAGCCGUAGUUUUCUAUAUCGGGAAUAAAGCCAAAAGCCCGACCCCAA
Molecule: small RNA, 106 nt
Filed under: Flavobacterium sp. 1
Lineage: Bacteria; Pseudomonadati; Bacteroidota; Flavobacteriia; Flavobacteriales; Flavobacteriaceae
Description: Flavo-1 RNA
Source: RNAcentral